ACAUUUUCGCAGUUGCCUUUUGGCUUAGAUCAAGUGUAGUAUCUGUUCUUUUCAGUUUAAUCUCUGAAACGAGUCUACGGACUCAUUUAUUGAUUAUACUUAUUUUUGCAACGCGGAAGACGGCCUCUGCGCUUGCGUAUGUCGCCUUCCACCGUGUCGCCGGUAUUGCACUGCCUCCGGCUGACGCGAAAGCAC
Coniosporium apollinis CBS 100218 is the source of this 195-nucleotide small nuclear RNA. It matches the Rfam family "U2 spliceosomal RNA". Rfam says of the family: U2 is a small nuclear RNA (snRNA) component of the spliceosome (involved in pre-mRNA splicing). Lineage: Eukaryota; Fungi; Ascomycota; Dothideomycetes. The record is from Rfam.